Molecule: unclassified non-coding RNA, 240 nt
Filed under: soil metagenome
Description: partial contains 5.8S ribosomal RNA, internal transcribed spacer 2, and large subunit ribosomal RNA
Source: RNAcentral
AACGGUCUAUACCUGCGGUACCUGCGGAAGGAUCAUUAUCGAGUUUUGACUGGGUUGUAGCUGGCCUUCCGAGGCAUGUGCACGCCCUGCUCAUCCACUCUACACCUGUGCACAAAUUGUAGGUUUCAGAUGGCGUAGCGUGCCUUUGUGGGCUCGUGAAGCAGUCUGUGCCUGCGUUUACUACAAACUCUUGCAUGUAACAGAAUGUGUAUUGCGAUGUAACGCAUCUAUAUACAACUU